RNAcentral lists this ribosomal RNA (243 nucleotides) under uncultured bacterium. RNAcentral describes it as "partial 16S ribosomal RNA". It matches the Rfam family "Bacterial small subunit ribosomal RNA", at positions 333 to 573 of the family's 1533-position model. The record is from RNAcentral.
ACGGCCCUACGGGAGGCAGCAGUGAGGAAUAUUGGUCAAUGGGCGGGAGCCUGAACCAGCCAAGCCGCGUGAGGGAAGAAGGUACAGCGUAUCGUAAACCUCUUUUGUCAGGGAACAAAGGCGGGGACUAGUCCCCGGAUGAGGGUACCUGAAGAAAAAGCAUCGGCUAACUCCGUGCCCGCAGCCGCGGUAAUACGGAGGAUGCGAGCGUUAUCCUGAUUUAUUGGGUUUUAAGGGUGCGCA